RNAcentral lists this unclassified non-coding RNA (672 nucleotides) under Serratia rubidaea. RNAcentral describes it as "partial contains 16S ribosomal RNA, 16S-23S ribosomal RNA intergenic spacer, and 23S ribosomal RNA". The stretch from base 265 to 337 matches the Rfam family "tRNA". Lineage: Bacteria; Pseudomonadati; Pseudomonadota; Gammaproteobacteria; Enterobacterales; Yersiniaceae. The record is from RNAcentral.
CCUAAAGAUAUCCUGACUGUGCAGUGUCCACACAGAUUGUCUGAUGAAAAAGUAACGAGCAGAAAUACCUUUAUAGGCUUGUAGCUCAGGUGGUUAGAGCGCACCCCUGAUAAGGGUGAGGUCGGUGGUUCAAGUCCACUCAGGCCUACCACUUCUCUCCUAUGCUGCGUUAUGGCGCCGCUCGCAUAUUUCAAUAUGCGUCGCGACACCACGCCUUGCCUAGAAGAGAAGUAGUAAACCGAAGGUCUCUGUCAGUGACUGUAUGGGGCUAUAGCUCAGCUGGGAGAGCGCCUGCCUUGCACGCAGGAGGUCAGCGGUUCGAUCCCGCUUAGCUCCACCAUAUAAGUCCGAAUAUCAAUACUUCAGAGUAUAUUGGCGACAGUAUGCUGCGAAGUAUUUUGCUCUUUAACAAUCUGGAACAAGCUGAAAAUUGAAACAUGACGGCUGAAACUUGUCCCUCCGUAGAAGUUUGGGAUAAGGAGUAGCCUGUCAUAGAGUCUCUCAAAUUUAUUACAACCCCUAGCAGGUUGAGCGAGCCAAGUGAAAUCAAGGCGCCCAGCGCGGAGGAAGCGGAGUGGACUUAAUGUCCAUGAGCAUUCCGAGCACUGCGUAACGCAGAAUUCACAACGCGCAGCCAACCGGCCAGACAGAAGAAACAUCUUCGGGUUGUGA